GGCGGUUCACGAUCCCCGCGGCUCUAUUAUUGUACUACUGGUACUUGUUUAUUUAUAAUAUAUAGAUCAACCAUCUAUAGAAGUAUAGAUAGAGAUAAACAAGAGAAAUAAAGAAGCCGAGUCUAACAUCAGGUAGACAAGGUUGAACUAGUCCUAUAGCUCAGUUGGUUAGAGCGCUACACUGAUAAUGUAGAGGUCGGCAGUUCAACUCUGCCUGGGACUACUCCGAACAAAAAUUGUCGUUGCCAAUACAGUGUUGGAAUGUUCAAUUACUCUUGGGGGAUUAGCUCAGCUGGCUAGAGUGCCUUGCACGCAGAGGGUCAACGGUUCGAAUCCGUUAUUCUCCACCAUCUCUGAAAAGAGAAACGAUCUUUGACAUGAUGUACAAAAAGUAAAAUUUAGUAAAGAGCUAAAAGUAUAUAUCGAACCGUACGUUUUAAGUACAACACUAUUAAGUACUUUGGGUUAAUACCUGAUACUUGAUACCUAAUACUUAAAAGUAAGUUNANAGAAAGUAANCGGGGNGCAAAUA
RNAcentral lists this unclassified non-coding RNA (532 nucleotides) under Bacteroides thetaiotaomicron. RNAcentral describes it as "partial 16S-23S ribosomal RNA intergenic spacer". The stretch from base 150 to 223 matches the Rfam family "tRNA". The record is from RNAcentral. Lineage: Bacteria; Pseudomonadati; Bacteroidota; Bacteroidia; Bacteroidales; Bacteroidaceae.